CCCUUAGAUGUUCUGGGCUGCACGUGUGCUACAAUGUGCCACAUAUAGAGUCUCCUUCACUUAACGGUGCGGGGAAUCUACUAGUAUGGUGCUAGAUGGGGCUUGAUGAUUGAAAUUUUCCAUCACAAACUAGGAAUUCCUAGUAUGUGUACGUCAACAACGUAUAUAGAAUACGUCCCUGCCCUUUGUACACACCGCCCGUCGCUCCUACCGAUUGAGUGGUCCGGUGAGGCUUUGGGAUCUGAGCGGAAAGAGCGUUUCGCUGUUUCUGCUCGGAAAACUCAGUCGAACCUUAUCAUUUAGAGGAAGGAGAAGUCGUAACA
Molecule: ribosomal RNA, 323 nt
Filed under: uncultured eukaryote
Lineage: Eukaryota
Description: partial 18S ribosomal RNA
Rfam family: Eukaryotic small subunit ribosomal RNA
Source: RNAcentral